Long non-coding RNA from Brassica oleracea var. oleracea, 753 nucleotides. RefSeq lists it as uncharacterized. The transcript is spliced from 4 exons. The record is from RefSeq and is a predicted model, not a curated record. Lineage: Eukaryota; Viridiplantae; Streptophyta; Magnoliopsida; Brassicales; Brassicaceae.
AGAGUGCUUAUACGGAAAUCUUGGGGCAAGUGAUCAAAGGUUGGGUGAUAACUCUCAACAUAGCUGACUUUGUUCACAUAACCGUACCAAGUGAGUUUGGUCAGUGGCGAUUCAAGUAUCAUUCUGUCAGUGUGUACGGAUUGUUCGCAUACAAUAUGUUAGAAUCUCUACACGAUGAGUCAAUGACAGAAUACUAUUGGAGUCUCCACUGAGACCUUUGUGGUCCACAUUCGGGUGCAAGGCAAGUGGAGUAAAGGAUCAAUGGAAUUGGCGAAAGAGGAUGGAAACUCUUCAUUACGAGACGGAGAGGUUAGACCCGAAGAAGUUUUAAACUGAGAUUAAGAUUCAAUCCUUGAGAUAUAUUUACGAAACAAUGUUUGUAACAUAGACACAGACAACAGUGGAACAAUCACAUAUGAAGAAUUGGAAGUAAGGACUAUCCAAAUUUGGAUCUAGACUCAAAGAAGCAGAAGUGAAGCAGCUCAUGAAUGCUGGACGGGCUAAUCUGACUGCAUUGAGUUCAUUACUGCAACAUUGCUUGAAAGUAUUGAGAAUCUUCACAAAGCCUUCCAGAAUUUGACAAGACAGUAACGGACGAAUAAGAAGCUGUGCUGGAGGACUAUGUAAUGGGAAAUGAUGCAACUAUCAAAGAGGUUCCCUCAUAAGAAAAUUCAUAUAACCUGAUCUUUAAAAAAAUUCAUCAUCAUCUCUGGGUGCCGUUUUUGAUCAAUGUCUUUCUCCAGUUAAGAGUGC